Molecule: long non-coding RNA, 604 nt
Organism: Dalotia coriaria
Lineage: Eukaryota; Metazoa; Arthropoda; Insecta; Coleoptera; Staphylinidae
Exons: 3
Source: RefSeq, a predicted model, not a curated record
UGCUAGCUGUGAAUGUUUUCAAUAGCAUUGUUUUGUUUUGUUGUUUCCGGCGUUUGGUUGUUUCUGCAUGAUUGUAUUGGUUACUGCAAGGAAGAACUUAAAGGAGUGAAUUAGAAAUUCAUGGAGACAAAGACCAUGUAAAUUUGAGAUUAUACUUAUACAAUUUGCAUUUUUGAGGUUUGGACAGAGGAGAAAUGAAUGCUGAAUUGUUGUUAAAAAUUGCUGCUAAUUUAACAAUCUUGGUUGGCUUAAAUUACAAAGGCUCAACAUGGGACAUGUUCUAUUAGCUGAAAGGACAAAAAGCAAGAGGCAAACUGACUCGACAUGCAAGGAAAUUUACUCCUGUAGCAAAUUUAGUUUUACGGACCUGAGCCCAACAUCCUAGAAGAAUCACUCUUGCAGCAGAUUGAAAGUAUUAAAUUUCCUUAUUAUUUUCCUAAAUAACUUUUGUGAUAAUCUCACAAAUUGACCCCCAAAAUUGCAUUUUUCUGUUCGAAGGACUAAUUUCUGCUGGUUUUAGGGAUUUUGCACCUGAGUCUAACAUCGUAGAAAAACCAUUCAUGAACCAGAUUGUAAAUAUUAAAUUUAUUUAUUAUUUUCAUAA